CAAUUCUUGCCGAGUCGGCCCUGUUUCGUUAAAACGGUAGUCUCCCCUCCCUCCCAAACAACCCAGAUAUUUUUUUCGGGCUGACCCUUUAUUUAAGAAAGCUAUUAAAAUAGUUUAAAUGACCAAUGAGCAUGGCUAUUUGGGUUGAUUGGCAGUUGCCAUUCUUUAGAAUUAUUGUUUUGAUUGACAGGCAGGCCGUUGUCAAGGAGAAGGGCGAGUCUCGCGGCGUCUCCAGGGGAAGCCCCCUCCCUCCCUGCUGCAUUACUUUCAACCAGCUCUGCUUUCAACAGCUUCAUCACUGCGAUGGGUUAUUUAAUUUUGGUACACUUUCCCCACAAAUAUGCUUUGUUGUACUUUUGGAUGUACUUCUCCGUAUUCUGCAAGGACCUCUGCGGUUUUGGCAAAACAACAAACCACACUUCACCUGGAAAACACAGCCAGGACUCACUGUCAGAUGUCUGAAAAUGUACAGUACACGCCAGCAGGUCUCACCAUAGUCAACAUCAUUAAGGAUUUGGCUCUCUGACCUGAGAAGAGGCCCCAUAAACACACCUGACAAGGACCAGCCACUGUUGCCAGUGCACAACUGAGGACCUGACCAGCCUGCUGCCAUCUAUGAUACUAUAUAGUACCCGCGGAGGUGUCUGAAGACGUGGAGUACACUGCAGCAGGUAUCACAUGACCAAGGACUUGGACAACGUCUCUGUUUACA
This is a long non-coding RNA of Engraulis encrasicolus (European anchovy), 712 nucleotides long. RefSeq lists it as uncharacterized. The record is from RefSeq and is a predicted model, not a curated record. The transcript has 4 exons. NCBI's taxonomy places the organism in Eukaryota, Metazoa, Chordata, Actinopteri, Clupeiformes, Engraulidae.